Molecule: ribosomal RNA, 456 nt
Filed under: uncultured bacterium
Lineage: Bacteria
Description: bacterial SSU rRNA
Rfam family: Bacterial small subunit ribosomal RNA
Source: RNAcentral
UACGGAGGCAGCAGUGGGGAAUAUUGCACAAUGGGCGAAAGCCUGAUGCAGCUAUGCCGCGUGUAUGAAGAAGGCCUUAGGGUUGUAAAGUACUUUCAUCGGGGAGGAAAAAACAAAACUAAUAAUUUUAUUUCUUGACGUUACCCGAAAAAGAAGCACCGGCUAACUCCGUGCCAGCAGCCGCGGUAAUACGGAGGGUGCUAGCGUUAAUCAGAAUUACUGGGCGUAAAGAGCACGUAGGUGGUUUUUUUAAAGUCAGAUGUGAAAUCCCUGGGCUUAACCUAGGAACUGCAUUUUGAAACUGAAAUACUAGAGUAUCGUAGAGGGAGGUAGAAUUCUAGGUGUAGCGGUGAAAUGCGUAGAUAUCUGGAGGAAUACCUGUGGCGAAAGUGGCCUCCUAAACGAAUACUGACACUGAGGUGCGAAAGCGUGGGGAGCAAACAGGGAUUAGAUACC